UGCGUAGGCGGCCUUGCAAGUCAGAAGUGAAAGGCUACGGCUUAACCGUAGUAAGCUUUUGAAACUGUAAGGCUAGAGUGAAGGAGAGGAAAGUGGAAUUCCUAGUGUAGAGGUGAAAUUCGUAGAUAUUAGGAGGAACACCAGUGGCGAAGGCGACUUUCUGGACUUUAACUGACGCUGAUGCACGAAAGCGUGGGGAGCAAACAGGAUUAGAUACCCUGGUAGUCC
This 228-nucleotide ribosomal RNA is filed under the name uncultured bacterium. Its description in RNAcentral is "partial 16S ribosomal RNA". It matches the Rfam family "Bacterial small subunit ribosomal RNA", at positions 568 to 796 of the family's 1533-position model. The record is from RNAcentral.